GUGGCUGUGGCUCAGUGGUAGAGCACUCGCCUAGCAUGUGUGAGGUCCUGGGUUCAAUCCUCAGCACCACA
RNAcentral lists this transfer RNA (71 nucleotides) under Marmota monax (woodchuck). It matches the Rfam family "tRNA". From Rfam's summary of the family: Transfer RNA (tRNA) molecules are approximately 80 nucleotides in length. Their secondary structure includes four short double-helical elements and three loops (D, anti-codon, and T loops). The record is from Rfam by way of RNAcentral. Lineage: Eukaryota; Metazoa; Chordata; Mammalia; Rodentia; Sciuridae.